This 275-nucleotide ribosomal RNA is filed under the name uncultured bacterium. RNAcentral's name for it is "partial 16S ribosomal RNA". It matches the Rfam family "Bacterial small subunit ribosomal RNA", at positions 523 to 796 of the family's 1533-position model. The record is from RNAcentral.
AUACGUAGGGUGCGAGCGUUAUCCGGAAUCAUUGGGCGUAAAGAGCUCGUAGGCGGUUCAGCAAGUCGGCUGUGAAAGUUCGAGGCUCAACCUCGAAAUUGCAGUCGAUACUGCUGUGACUCGAGUCCGGUAGAGGAGAAUGGAAUUCUCGGUGUAGCGGUGAAAUGCGCAGAUAUCGAGAGGAACACCAGUAGCGAAGGCGGUUCUCUGGGCCGGCACUGACGCUGAGGAGCGAAAGCGUGGGGAGCAAACAGGAUUAGAUACCCGAGUAGUCC